Long non-coding RNA from Cotesia glomerata, 135 nucleotides. RefSeq lists it as uncharacterized. The record is from RefSeq and is a predicted model, not a curated record. Lineage: Eukaryota; Metazoa; Arthropoda; Insecta; Hymenoptera; Braconidae. The transcript has 3 exons.
AUCCGUUGAAUCCCAUUUAAUCAAUGUUAAAAAUGAACUGUUUUUACCGUCUGUUGUAAAAUUUUCUAAAUGUGGGAUACGACGUAUUAGAAUGGCAGUAUCGUAAUGUGGUAAUUAAAAAAUACAAUAAAUGUA